UACGAGAGGCCCAAACGUUAUUCGGAAUUACUGGGCGUAAAGGGCUCGUAGGCGGCCAACUAAGUCAGACGUGAAAUCCCUCGGCUUAACCGGGGAACUGCGUCUGAUACUGGAUGGCUUGAGAUUGGGAGAGGGAUGCGGAAUUCCAGGUGUAGCGGUGAAAUGCGUAGAUAUCUGGAGGAACACCGGUGGCGAAGGCGACAUCCUGGACCAACACUGACGCUGAGGAGCGAAAGCCAGGGGAGCAAACGGG
RNAcentral lists this ribosomal RNA (253 nucleotides) under uncultured bacterium. Its description in RNAcentral is "partial 16S ribosomal RNA". It matches the Rfam family "Bacterial small subunit ribosomal RNA", at positions 524 to 776 of the family's 1533-position model. The record is from RNAcentral.